RNAcentral lists this transfer RNA (66 nucleotides) under Aleurodicus dispersus. RNAcentral describes it as "tRNA-Trp". Lineage: Eukaryota; Metazoa; Arthropoda; Insecta; Hemiptera; Aleyrodidae. The record is from RNAcentral.
AAAAUUUUAAGUUAAAUAAACUAAUAAUUUUCAAAAUUAUCAAUAUUAAUUAUAGAAUAAAUUUUA